AUUGAACGCUGGCGGCAGGCCUAACACAUGCAAGUCGAGCGGAUGAAGGGAGCUUGCUCCUGGAUUCAGCGGCGGACGGGUGAGUAAUGCCUAGGAAUCUGCCUGGUAGUGGGGGAUAACGUCCGGAAACGGGCGCUAAUACCGCAUACGUCCUGAGGGAGAAAGUGGGGGAUCUUCGGACCUCACGCUAUCAGAUGAGCCUAGGUCGGAUUAGCUAGUUGGUGGGGUAAAGGCCUACCAAGGCGACGAUCCGUAACUGGUCUGAGAGGAUGAUCAGUCACACUGGAACUGAGACACGGUCCAGACUCCUACGGGAGGCAGCAGUGGGGAAUAUUGGACAAUGGGCGAAAGCCUGAUCCAGCCAUGCCGCGUGUGUGAAGAAGGUCUUCGGAUUGUAAAGCACUGUAAGUUGGGAGGAAGGGCAGUAAGUUAAUACCUGGCUGUUUUGACGUUACCAACAGAAUAAGCACCGGCUAACUUCGUG
Molecule: ribosomal RNA, 484 nt
Filed under: uncultured bacterium
Lineage: Bacteria
Description: partial 16S ribosomal RNA
Rfam family: Bacterial small subunit ribosomal RNA
Source: RNAcentral